AGCAUAUCAAUAAGCGGAGGAAAAGAAACCAACAGGGAUUGCCCCAGUAACGGCGAGUGAAGCGGCAACAGCUCAAAUUUGAAAUCUGGCCCCCCGCGGGGGCCCGAGUUGUAAUUUGCAGAGGAUGCUUUUGGCGAGGCGCCUUCCGAGUUCCCUGGAACGGGACGCCGCAGAGGGUGAGAGCCCCGUCUGGUCGGACGCCAAGCCAGUGUAAAGCUCCUUCGACGAGUCGAGUAGUUUGGGAAUGCUGCUCUAAAUGGGAGGUAUAUGUCUUCUAAAGCUAAAUAUUGGCCAGAGACCGAUAGCGCACAAGUAGAGUGAUCGAAAGAUGAAAAGCACUUUGAAAAGAGGGUUAAACAGUACGUGAAAUUGUUGAAAGGGAAGCGCUCGUGACCAGACUCGGGCCCGGCGGAUCAUCCGGCGUUCUCGCCGGUGCGCUCCGCCGGGCUCGGGCCAGCAUCAGCUCGCCGCGGGGGACAAAGGCUUCGGGAACGUGGCUCCCACGGGAGUGUUAUAGCCCGCUGCGCAAUGCCCCGGGGCGGGCUGAGGUUCGCGCUCCGCAAGGAUGCUGGCGUAAUGGUCACCAGCGACCCGUCUUGAAACACGGACCAAGGAGUCGUCUUCGUAUGCGAGUGUUCGGGUGUGAAACCCCUACGCGUAAUGAAAGUGAACGCAGGUGAGAGCCUCGGCGCAUCAUCGACCGAUCCUGAUGUUCUCGGAUGGAUUUGAGUAAGAGCAUACGGGGCCGGACCCGAAAGAAGGUGAACUAUGCCUGUGUAGGGUGAAGCCAGAGGAAACUCUGGUGGAGGCUCGCAGCGGUUCUGACGUGCAAAUCGAUCGUCAAACAUGGGCAUGGGGGCGAAAGACUAAUCGA
This 874-nucleotide ribosomal RNA is filed under the name Purpureocillium atypicola. RNAcentral's name for it is "Cordyceps cylindrica partial large subunit ribosomal RNA". It matches the Rfam family "Eukaryotic large subunit ribosomal RNA", at positions 37 to 938 of the family's 3401-position model. The record is from RNAcentral. Lineage: Eukaryota; Fungi; Ascomycota; Sordariomycetes; Hypocreales; Ophiocordycipitaceae.